AUGGAUAACAUUCUCCAGAUUAACAAGUUCAUUUGUGCUGCUGCUCUUACUAUGUCUCGGGGCGUUGGGGUCGACAAGAUGGAGGUGCUUGCUGCAAGCGCUAUAAGGCCGGGCGGUGGAGGCGUACGCAUGUGCCACAGUUCAGGUAUGUGUGCACCCUCCCUAGGAAUCUCUUACUUGCAUCUGGUUGUUAGAGUUGGUCAUGCCGCUGAGGAGCUAUACUGUUUGUUGCGCCUGAAACAGCUGCAGCAGUAUGCAGAUGGACGCUUAGCAAACUUAUGUCUACACUAUGCAGAAAACACUAUGAAUUAUUCACCUCAAAUUUGGUCAGAAUUAGGCAUGCGUGACAUUCGCUAUUAG
This 360-nucleotide ribosomal RNA is filed under the name Triticum aestivum (bread wheat). Its description in RNAcentral is "partial small subunit ribosomal RNA". Lineage: Eukaryota; Viridiplantae; Streptophyta; Magnoliopsida; Poales; Poaceae. The record is from RNAcentral.